Molecule: microRNA precursor, 119 nt
Filed under: Musa acuminata subsp. malaccensis (wild Malaysian banana)
Lineage: Eukaryota; Viridiplantae; Streptophyta; Magnoliopsida; Zingiberales; Musaceae
Description: mir-166 microRNA precursor family
Rfam family: mir-166 microRNA precursor family
About the family: This family represents the plant microRNA (miRNA) precursor mir-166. Animal miRNAs are transcribed as ~70nt precursors and subsequently processed by the Dicer enzyme to give a ~22nt product.
Source: Rfam by way of RNAcentral
UUUGAGGGGAAUGUUGUCUGGGUCGAGGCAUCCGCAGAACUUGAGAUAGAUAGAUCGUCUAUCUUCUCUUCUCUUCUUUUAUGUUUGGAGAUCUCGGACCAGGCUUCAUUCCCCUCAAC